Molecule: long non-coding RNA, 772 nt
Organism: Armigeres subalbatus
Lineage: Eukaryota; Metazoa; Arthropoda; Insecta; Diptera; Culicidae
Exons: 5
Source: RefSeq, a predicted model, not a curated record
UUUGAAAGUGUUUUGGUUUUAUUUACCUCUUCCCUCGCAUAAACAGGUUCAGUAAACAUGAAAUCCGUGAUAAUGCAUACUGGCGCUGGCGGAAUAAUUGGAUUUUCGAAGCGGAAUUACUGGCACGUGAACUUGACCAGUGCGACAAGUGCAUCCACUAAACCGCUACGCCAAGGAUCGUGCUGAUUUGAACCUGAAUCUGUUGGAUUUUGAUGCACUGAGAUGUGGAUUAUACGGGACGAAUACCUGCGGUGAAGCUUGGUUUUAGUUUUCCUCGCGUUGCCGUCUUCCAGCAAUCAAUUCUGGAGAUUCAAAUUGAAGGAGAAACCUCGCUCUGACCAUCAUCAUUUGCCCUUAGAAGCAAUAAGGACAGGAAUGCCAUCGCUGAUGAACAAUAGACGAAGCCCGGAGCAAGCUGAGCAGAUACAUUUCUUAACAAGCUGCAGAAUGGGUUCGACCAGUUACACCGCCUUGAAAAGCCAGUUAGCCUUCAGAAUUACAUCUCCGAUAAGAGCGGUGCGAGGAACGGUGUCUUUGCAGUCAGAAUCGGUCGAGGCAGUGGAAACUGACACGGAUCAUCCCGGAAUACACAGAUAACCGCCUUGAGGAUUAUUCUACAAUGCCUACAGAUGACUACGAUGCGCACCCUUAUCAUCGCCACGGGCUGGAUGCUGCUGAAACACUCAAAAGUGUCCACCGUGUGGCGGGAAGUGCUGCAGCUGGCAUAUUAUGCGUAACAAAAAUAAAUAAUAAAAUUAAAAGUAUGAGCUAA